RNAcentral lists this ribosomal RNA (497 nucleotides) under uncultured bacterium. RNAcentral describes it as "partial 16S ribosomal RNA". It matches the Rfam family "Bacterial small subunit ribosomal RNA", at positions 28 to 507 of the family's 1533-position model. The record is from RNAcentral.
GAUGAACGCUGGCGGCGUGCCUAAUACAUGCAAGUCGAGCGAACGGACGAGAAGCUUGCUUCUCUGAUGUUAGCGGCGGACGGGUGAGUAACACGUGGAUAACCUACCUAUAAGACUGGGAUAACUUCGGGAAACCGUAGCUAAUACCGGAUAAUAUUUUGAACCGCAUGGGUCAAAAGUGAAAGACGGUCUUGCUGUCACUUAUAGAUGGAUCCGCGCUGCAUUAGCUAGUUGGUAAGGUAACGGCUUACCAAGGCAACGAUGCAUAGCCGACCUGAGAGGGUGAUCGGCCACACUGGAACUGAGACACGGUCCAGACUCCUACGGGAGGCAGCAGUAGGGAAUCUUCCGCAAUGGGCGAAAGCCUGACGGAGCAACGCCGCGUGAGUGAUGAAGGUCUUCGGAUCGUAAAACUCUGUUAUUAGGGAAGAACAUAUGUGUAAGUAACUGUGCACAUCUUGACGGUACCUAAUCAGAAAGCCACGGCUAACUACGUG